Molecule: long non-coding RNA, 802 nt
Organism: Mytilus californianus (California mussel)
Lineage: Eukaryota; Metazoa; Mollusca; Bivalvia; Mytilida; Mytilidae
Exons: 2
Source: RefSeq, a predicted model, not a curated record
UCCUGACGAAAAGGCUACUUUUACAAUGAUGUUCCGUGAAAUUAUAAUUUCUGUACUUGUUGGAAGCAUAUGUGCCCAGUUCUGGGACAGAGAUUCAGACAAUUAUGGCGAUUCAUUUGUCGGAAAAUACAGGGAUUACAGAGACUCAGAUUCAAAUGGCUUGUAUGACGAUAACAGCAAUAAUAACGACGACGAUUCAGAUGAAUCGUACAGAAACAGAUUCCUUGUAGGAGGCUUUAGAAGACGCCAAAGUUGGGGACAAAGAGCAGUUGGUUUCCAACCACGCCGACAACAAACUUUUUCACGAUUCAACACUGCCAGAAGAAGAUCUCAAAAUCAAAAUUUUAGAAACUCAAGGAGAUCUUCUCGAAUCCAAUCCCAACGCCGUGUUCAAAACCGUCCCAGAUUCAACGUUCAACAAAGAACAUUAAGAAAUUCUGCUAGAAACCGUUUUCAAACAAACAGAAACUUCUUCAGAGGCAACAGUCCUACCCAGGCAGCAAUGUUGUAUAACGCAUUCAACAUGGACCUCUUUUAACAGAAGUUGAAGAUAGGCUGAAGAUAAAAUCUGGAUGACAACAGAUGCUAAAAAGAGGACAUAUAUGAACUGACACAGCUAUAUAUAUAAUGUUACUGUUUCAAACAAAAACUAAAAGAUUGUGAGAAUCUUAUGACUUAUAUUAUAAAUUACAGUGGACACUGUAUAGUCCCAUAGGAAAGGGAAAGAUACGAUGUUUUGUAUUUAUUUAGUUGCAUAUAAUGUAGCUCUUGUUAUGCUGUGAUAUUAAAUGAACUAUUAUUA